CUUGUGGUCAGCAACAGCAUUUUUGCCAGAGCAUUUCAAAUCCCCAGUGUAUACAGUAAAUUAAAUAAGACUGGAAAAAAGAAGAUAUGUUUUGUCUUUGGUCUGAUGUUGUUGCAAACAGAUUAAGUCCUCCUUAUCAAAGAGAACAGAAGUAACUCCAUCAAAAGAGUAUUACAGACUGAAAAACACAGACUAAUCUUCCCACAUUCCACGCAGAAGAGUAUUAACUGUACAGAAAGGUCUCAGUGUUACCUUGGAAAAAACCCUCAGAAAAAAUAUUUGCAACGAUUUGCAAAAUUAGCCAUUGUUACUUGGGUGUUGUACAUUGUUACAGAGACUUUAAAAACAAAAAAGACAAAAGGAAAUUAAACAACCCAUUCAUCACCACUGAUGAGCCAGCAACAAAAAGCAAUAAAAAGCCAACACCAUGUCAAAAAAGGGGGAUUUUUACUGCUCUGCCACAAUGCAUGCAUACAACCGCAGCAGAAAUAAUCAUGGCUCCUUUGACAUUUUGUCCUAGGAACCUCUCUGUUUCAAGAAGCAAAGAAAAAAAGGAAGGAUCCCUGUGCACUGAGUUGCAUACACAACCAAAUUUAUGUUCUACAGACACCAUGAACAUCAAGUAAUUCCCUGUUCCAAAAAGGUCAAUCCUGUGGGAGCCCAUUUGCUGAAGGAUGAACAAGGAAUGUGUUGACAGAAAGAUAUUGGGUCUUUCCAGGCUCCUGUUGAUGAGAUACCAUCAUUUCAUAGAAACACGGAAGUUUGGGAAGCUGAAAGCCAUCCAGCACUGUUUAUACUCCUCAGGACUUUCUCCCCCUUUUGCUGGGAAGAUGUUGCUUUAUUAGUAUAUUAUUUCGUUUUUCUGCUUAUCCCUGAUUUUUCUCAGAGUUUGGCAUCCUUUUAACAAGAUAGCCUAAUGCAUAUCAGAGCAAUGUAAAUAAAAUCUGAAUUAGCUGUUACUGUACAUGUGUUAGUAUUUAGCAGAUUUGGUUGCCAUAUAAGAGAAGAAACUUCUCAUUUCCAUAACAAGCAUUUAAAGAAAUCUGAAACAAAAGCAACAGAUGUUCCUCCUUGUGUGAACAGCAAAACUCAAAAACAACAACAAAAACACUUAAUUUACCUAGUAAUUGAGUUUCAGAGAGUAGUUCUCAAGAAAAAUGUGAAUAAGACUAUUUUUAUUCACUAUAACAUGACCAUCACAAAAAAAAGGAAAUUUUUAGUCAGCUGAAUUCUGACUGCUCUCUGUACAGUCUCACACUGCUCCAAGGGCACUGUUGCCAGGACAUCAUUCAGCAAACAAACAGAAAAGCCCUCUGCUUUUAGAGACAUAUUUGUGAAAGCUCAUGACAAUAAUCCAUACUUUUACACAAAUAAGAUAUGGAAGAACUGCUACAGUAUAAAAAGAUGCCAGUCAUGUCUCUGUAGGUGUAAAGCAGUAGAGUAACUCAAAGGCUAAAAAAACAUCAUGACUUUGAAGAAAUGUUGAGGGACACUUGGACAAAAAAAAAUAUAUUUCUUUCUCUGCAUGCAAGGACUGAGAAUAACUGGGAAGUCAGACUGGUCUAACUGGGUGCUUAGCACAAGGGGCAACACAUCACAAAUGUGUGGCAUGAAAUGGCUUUGCUGAUGAGCCAAGACAACCCAAGAGGAACACAUGUAACAAUGAUACUUUGAAUUCUGGCAUUCUCUUUCCAAAGAUAAAUGACUGUCUAGGUUUGGGCAAUUUCUCUGUAUGUUGCACUAAAGACAAAUCAAAUCUUUCAUUAGAUUAAUCUACCAGGAGCAGAAAGGGGUGUCAGGAUGAGUAUUACUGCUACCCCUUGUAACUCAGGGCCAUGGGAACAUUAAGACCAGCCAAAAGGGACCUCCUGGACUAUCAAGUCUGAAUAGAUCCCAUUUAGUUAGGCAGUAAGCCUUUCUGUUGCAAUAUAUUCUGUGUGUUGGUAUAGCAUACACUCUAUCGUAAUUCUAUGAUAAGUAAAGGAGAUGAACUUUUCACACUCCAUGCCAGGCCAUGGCAGUUAGGUGGUUUUUGAACUGAUUCAACAUGGUAAUAAAGUAAGAAGUAGAACUUGUCUUUUCUUGCCUCUGGCUUGGAAAGGAAAGUGAUGUAAGUGGCAACUUAAUAGCCACUCUUCUACCAGAUCCCCUAUUAUUUUUGAGCUCUCACCAGGAGUACAAUUCAAAAUCCCCAAAACCCUGCAUAACAGAUCAUUUCCUCCUUUACUGCUGACUUAGGGAGUUCGAAAAAAAAUAAAACAGAAAUUACUUUCCAAACUGAACAGUGAAUUUUCACAAUAAGAUUGUUUGCAAAAGGGUCAGUCUCAUGAAUGUGUGUUCUUGUUAAAAAAAUCACAGCACUUAGACAGAACAAAGCAGUAAGAUCUGCCAAAGCGUAUGAAGAUCCAGAAGUGCUUAAAGAAAGAAUAAAAAAUAGAUACAGUUACUGAAUGAUGGCUGCUAGGACUGUGAAUCAAACAAACAAACAAAAAUAUUAAGUGUUAUGUGCAAUUUUUAAAUAGUAUAGUUCCUGUGCUCUCAAGUACUCAGUUCAGGAGUGAUGAUGGGCCAUGCUAGCGAGACAGCACGGUCCUACAAAUAAGCCCCUUCAAAGUUCUGAAUUCUUAUGGCUGGUUACUAGAGAGAAGUGCACAGAAACUCAGCUGGUUGUAGCUGAACUGUUUUUUUAUGGCUUACAAGCAAUGUCUGAUUUACACCAGUGAAUUUCAGGAGUUGUUCUGCCAAAGUAGAUUACGUGAAGUGGCAAAUAUGUUCUACAAUUGUACAAAA
Meleagris gallopavo (turkey) is the source of this 2790-nucleotide long non-coding RNA. The record is from Ensembl. NCBI's taxonomy places the organism in Eukaryota, Metazoa, Chordata, Aves, Galliformes, Phasianidae.